This 729-nucleotide ribosomal RNA is filed under the name uncultured bacterium. RNAcentral's name for it is "bacterial SSU rRNA". It matches the Rfam family "Bacterial small subunit ribosomal RNA", at positions 8 to 762 of the family's 1533-position model. The record is from RNAcentral.
AGAGUUUGAUCCUGGCUCAGGACGAACGCUGGCGGCGUGCCUAACACAUGCAAGUCGAGCGAGAGACUUCGGUCUCUAGCGGCGGACGGGUGAGUAACACGUGGGUAACCUGCCUCAUAGUGGGGGAUAGCCUUCCGAAAGGAAGAUUAAUACCGCAUAUACUCUCGAUACCACAUGGUAUUUAGAGGAAAGGAGCAAUCCGCUAUGAGAUGGACCCGCGGCGCAUUAGCUAGUUGGUGAGGUAACGGCUCACCAAGGCGACGAUGCGUAGCCGACCUGAGAGGGUGAUCGGCCACAUUGGAACUGAGACACGGUCCAGACUCCUACGGGAGGCAGCAGUGGGGAAUAUUGCACAAUGGGCGAAAGCCUGAUGCAGCAACGCCGCGUGAGUGAUGACGGCCUUCGGGUUGUAAAGCUCUGUCUUUUGGGACGAUAAUGACGGUACCAAAGGAGGAAGCCACGGCUAACUACGUGCCAGCAGCCGCGGUAAUACGUAGGUGGCAAGCGUUGUCCGGAUUUACUGGGCGUAAAGGAUGCGUAGGUGGAUAUUUAAGUGGGAUGUGAAAUACCCGGGCUCAACUUGGGUGCUGCAUUCCAAACUGGAUAUCUAGAGUGCAGGAGAGGUAAGUGGAAUUCCUAGUGUAGCGGUGAAAUGCGUAGAGAUUAGGAAGAACACCAGUGGCGAAAGCGACUUACUGGACUGUAACUGACACUGAGGCAUGAAAGCGU